GACGAACGCUGGCGGCGUGCUUAACACAUGCAAGUCGAACGGAAAGGCCCCUUUGGGGGUACUCGAGUGGCGAACGGGUGAGUAACACGUGAGUAACCUGCCCUUGACUUCGGGAUAACUUCAGGAAACUGGGGCUAAUACCGGAUAGGAAUCCUUGCUGCAUGGUGGGGGUUGGAAAGCUUCGGCGGUUUUGGAUGGACUCGCGGCUUAUCAGCUUGUUGGUGGGGUAGUGGCUUACCAAGGCUUUGACGGGUAGCCGGCCUGAGAGGGCGACCGGCCACAUUGGGACUGAGAUACGGCCCAGACUCCUACGGGAGGCAGCAGUGGGGAAUAUUGCACAAUGGGCGGAAGCCUGAUGCAGCAACGCCGCGGGCGGGAUGACGGCCUUCGGGUUGUAGACCGCUUUCAGCAGGGGCGAAGCUUGUGGUGACGGUACCUGCAGAAGAAGCACCGGCUAACUACGUG
This 465-nucleotide ribosomal RNA is filed under the name uncultured bacterium. Its description in RNAcentral is "partial 16S ribosomal RNA". It matches the Rfam family "Bacterial small subunit ribosomal RNA", at positions 28 to 507 of the family's 1533-position model. The record is from RNAcentral.